GGAAGGGCCUCUGAUGGGAGAUCCUCUCCUCUGUGGGCUUUUCUUCUGUGAGCCCAGAUGGUUGGAGCUGGGGCUGCUGCUGAAUUAUUUAGAUGAGGAAUGGGUGUUCUGACAGCAAGAAUUAUGGUAAAGACUUGAGAUUUACAAGGCAGGUUCAGAGGCAUCUAGAAGCAGUGGAAAAAAUAAACAAGAGGAGACAGAGCAGGAAGACUUCACACUGUGGUUCUGGGGCAAGCAGUUCGUGGGCUCUCUGGGCAGCGUACAGCUG
Long non-coding RNA from Tympanuchus pallidicinctus (lesser prairie-chicken), 268 nucleotides. RefSeq lists it as uncharacterized. Lineage: Eukaryota; Metazoa; Chordata; Aves; Galliformes; Phasianidae. The record is from RefSeq and is a predicted model, not a curated record. The transcript has 3 exons.